CGCCCGGCCCCGCCCCUCGCUCCCCCUCCUCUGUGGUUCCUGCCGAGCCGGCUGCGGCGGCGAGAACCGGAGACCCCGAGCUGCGGCGUCAGAGGCACACAGGCCUUUGUGCUCCCGCAGGUGGCACCCGAGGCCCCAGUUGGGUGCGGGUGGAAAAGAGGUCCCUCGAUCACUGGAGGUCACACCCAUGGAUGAAGGAGGGGUUCCUGCUGAAACCCUGCCCCACCAUCUCCAGCCCCGUCAGUCAUUAAAGGUCUCACCUCUGCUGCUACCGUCACCAUCGGCCUUGGGCAGAUCAAGCUUUACCAUCGUCUCCAUUUAGAGAGGAGAAAACCCCUUAGAAAGGUGGGGCCACCCCAUCACCGUCACCGCCCUUGUGCACGCGGAAGCCUGUCUUACAGACUCUGAGGAUUAGGACCAGGGACCAGCCGUCUGCAUCUAUCAAGGUUAUGCAGUUUUUCUUAAAAGAGAUCAUUCUACUAGGAAUCUGACUUCAGACAUCCUCUUGUCCUGGAGUCAAGAGAACGAAUCAAGGAAGGAAAAGGGGCUGAAAGAGAACGAGAAGAGGAAAUGUGAGUGUGGCGAGCGGAAGAAGAAGAGCCAACGGCAGAUAAGCGCACUUCAAGGGAACCAGAAACCCCGAGGAGAGCGCUGGUGUGGCCGCUGGCGCACGCGGCCGUGCAGGGACAGAGAUGAUGGUUAAGGUCCUGCUGGCAGGUGAAGGCUGUCCCGACAACAUGCCCAGGAAGUGGAGACCCGGUCCGUGGACGGCCCUGAGUUUGCUAGGCUGAGCCCUCCACUGGCUCCGGAAUUUGGAGGAGAGGGCUGGAGGUGCUCACAGGGCCGCCACGUGCCUGACCCCAGGAGGUGCAGGUCACACCGUGUUCUUUGUGAAAGGUAUCCCUGCAGGGGCUCCACAUGCUCGUCUUGCAGGACCCAGUCCUGCCCUCCCGACCCUCUCAAGGUGAACAGGAGCACCUCAGCUAGUCCAAGUGAUGAGACAGUGUGGGGAGGCCUGACUGACCCCCCCCUCCAUACCUCCCCCCCGAAUUCAGGCCUCCUGGGACAAGCAUGAAGGGGACAGAGGCUCCAUCUCACACGGCAGGGGCAGGACCGCUUACUCGGCCCAGCUCUGCAUCCCUGCGGGCGCUUAGUAGUCCCCGCAUCAAGCAGGCCACCCUGCAGGGUCCAAACCCGGCUGGAGCUGCCCGACCCCUGGGGUCCCUCACGGCACCGGUUCUCAGGCUGAGGUUCUAGAGACUUUCCAUAGACACAAAAAAAUCAAACAGAACACCACAAUUUGAAGGAAAUUCAAUGCAAUGCUAACUUGUGAUAUGUUAAAGAAUGAAGAUUAUAAAUUACUUACAUUUCCUUUAUUUUCCAAUUUUGUUAAU
Molecule: long non-coding RNA, 1394 nt
Filed under: Equus caballus (horse)
Lineage: Eukaryota; Metazoa; Chordata; Mammalia; Perissodactyla; Equidae
Description: lncRNA (ENSECAG00000029728.3)
Source: RNAcentral